GGGCGCCAAGUUGACCUUCGAGGAAUUGAAGUGUCACCAAAGUGCAGGUGCCAAGACAAGCCACUCACCGCAGAAGCUGUGGAAGUUGGCACUGUUGGGGACCUGGAAGGAUUCAGUGUGUGGUAAUCUGAAGAAGGUGCCACCAUAGGUGUCAUCAGUCAUCACUUGCCCCAGAAACAGUACCUGAUCAUCCACUUGUAAGUGAAACCUCAAUGUUGCUUUGCGGAGACGCACCAUUUGCGGCCAGCGGCCUACAUCAGUGAAUCUGAUGCGAGCAGUGUCGGAUGGGUGGCAGGUGAGGA
RNAcentral lists this long non-coding RNA (302 nucleotides) under Setaria viridis. Its description in RNAcentral is "long non-coding RNA (SVIR_LNC002357)". Lineage: Eukaryota; Viridiplantae; Streptophyta; Magnoliopsida; Poales; Poaceae. The record is from RNAcentral.